ACGCUGGCGGCAGGCCUAACACAUGCAAGUCGAGCGGUAGAGAGAAGCUUGCUUCUCUUGAGAGCGGCGGACGGGUGAGUAAUGCCUAGGAAUCUGCCUGGUAGUGGGGGAUAACGCUCGGAAACGGACGCUAAUACCGCAUACGUCCUACGGGAGAAAGCAGGGGACCUUCGGGCCUUGCGCUAUCAGAUGAGCCUAGGUCGGAUUAGCUAGUUGGUGAGGUAAUGGCUCACCAAGGCGACGAUCCGUAACUGGUCUGAGAGGAUGAUCAGUCACACUGGAACUGAGACACGGUCCAGACUCCUACGGGAGGCAGCAGUGGGGAAUAUUGGACAAUGGGCGAAAGCCUGAUCCAGCCAUGCCGCGUGUGUGAAGAAGGUCUUCGGGAUUGUAAAGCACUUUAAGUUGGGAGGAAGGGCAGUUACCUAAUACGUAUCUGUUUUGACGUUACCGACAGAAUAAGCACCGGCUAACUCUGUGCCAGCAGCCGCGGUAAUACAGAGGGUGCAAGCGUUAAUCGGAAUUACUGGGCGUAAAGCGCGCGUAGGUGGUUUGUUAAGUUGGAUGUGAAAUCCCCGGGCUCAACCUGGGAACUGCAUUCAAAACUGACAAGCUAGAGUAUGGUAGAGGGUGGUGGAAUUUCCUGUGUAGCGGUGAAAUGCGUAGAUAUAGGAAGGAACACCAGUGGCGAAGGCGACCACCUGGACUGAUACUGACACUGAGGUGCGAAAGCGUGGGGAGCAAAC
This 746-nucleotide ribosomal RNA is filed under the name uncultured bacterium. Its description in RNAcentral is "bacterial SSU rRNA". It matches the Rfam family "Bacterial small subunit ribosomal RNA", at positions 33 to 773 of the family's 1533-position model. The record is from RNAcentral.